UGCACAUCGUCGCUUCUUAUCUCCCAGCCGCCACCUGCACAGGGCACACUCCGACCAUGCAACCGCCAAGGUCGCCGACCACAUUGUGCACGUCUACGCCAUCGACCUCGGCGGACGGUGCCGCAAUGUUCGUCAGUAUGUCCGGUUGGUCGAGGAGCGCCAAGGAAGUGGGCCGAGGGGGCGUGGGGGCGGCGGCAGAAGCAGCAUGGGUGUCCUACGGUGAGCGCUUUGAGGGAUUCUGCAGAGCAGUUCUCCCCAGAGGCCUGAUGCAUCCAACCCUACAAGGCCCUAGCAGAGCUUGAACCUUCUUCAGCAAAUAAUGGUCACCGAGUUCUCAUAUUCAAGUUUCAACCACUGGACCACAAUUCUUGAUAUCUACCAAUGGACACUGGAAGUAAUAUGAGCUACAUAUAUGCAUCUCAAUGGGGGUUAUUUCUUUCCUCAGCAAGUUACAGAACAAUAGGAAAGGUAAAGUGAACACACAACUUGGUUUUAUGGUUAUUAGAACGUCACUGUACUAUAUUCCAGGCUAAGCAGAAGUGGCGUUGGCACUGAAGAACAUCAGUUUAUGUUUAAGAGAUCUCAAUUUUGGAGAGUCUGAUGUGUUACAAAUUAUUGUUGUAUAUAAGGAGAAUAGUGGGAGAAGAUCUGCAGUUGUGUAUGUGUAAGCUUUCUGAGGUAGUUUUUUUUAUUUCAAGAUCCUAACUGUUUAUCCAUUUGCUCCUUAGAUUCGCUUACUGAUUGUAAAUUGCUUUACUUCAUUGGACAUAAAAGGACAAUAUGCUUGUAUUUGUGAAACUGCUAUAUUUUUCUGUACAAUGGUGAAAGAGCUACAUUUUAUAUCGCUCUAUGAUUCAUUUUCUUCUAUUCCAUAUGGACAUAGGAAACUUGAAAACUACACCACAACUCUUAGGCUUGCCAAAAUAUGAGGAUUAUCACUCGGUCAUGAGCGAAACUCGAUGUACCCGGUAAGGAUGGAGGCAAGAUGGGGCCAUAGAGCCCCCUUUUGCGCAGGAGGGAGUAGGUCUCAGCCGAAGGCAACAAUUAUGGCUGCUUCCAGAGCCUAAGCCACCUGCGGAGUCAAUGUCAUGGUCGCCCCAGAGCGGAAUCCAUCGCCUAGGCCACAAGAGUAGGAGCUGCUGUCGUAGAGGUCAUGUCUGAACCUAAACUGAACUUUCUAUGGAUGGUAAGAUGUCCUCCCUCAAUCUUCUAGCAGCCAGUGCUCGUUGGCCUCUCCUCACCAUUCAGUUGCUGAUUGUAUGAAAUAGAUGGUUAACACUUUAUUUUGUUGGUCCCUACUGGACGGUAGUGAUGUUGAGACACAAGAGAUUAUCAGGCCUACACACACACACACACACACACACACAUAUAUAUAUAUAUAUAUAUAUAUAAUUGUUCAUUGAUCUUUCUUAUCUCUGAUAUAAUUUUGCCAAUGAUCAAAGAACUGUUGUUCUGGAUGUACACCUAUUGUGUUGCUUAUUUUGCCAUCACUCUUCUGCUUUACCUUAGGAGUAGUACCAAUCUUAGAAAAUGCUCCUAAUUUGGGUAAAAUUUGGAAACAUUAUGGAUGGAUAAAUUUAUGGACUUGUUCCUUUAUUACCUAAUUGUAUAGCCUAUGAUCUUAUACAGUUGAGGGCCGCUUAUCCUAUUCUUUAUGUGUGAAGUUAAAAGCUAAACAUAGCUAAUGACAUAAGUGAUCUAUUAAAAUAUAUCGCGGAAGUAAGUACUUAUUUUUGUUUCUACUUAUUACCUAAUUUUAAUGUGAAUUUUUCAAAGACAUACAAUGUUCGAUAUAGUCUAAUUUAAUAUACCAGCGAUGAUGGUAUUGAAUCUGCGAAGAAAAUGUAUACUCAUUUCAUAAUUGCAUCUUUUAAUUAGUAGGUCAGGACCAAGCUUUAGGCAGGAAAGUGGGACAAUCUUCAGUAAGCUACAAUGUUCAUGUCUUCAUAUAUCAUUUGACUGAUGUGUUCUUGUAUCAUUCUUCUACUUUCGGAGCUAUUACUGCGAUCAUUUUGACCUCGUGUCUUCUUAUAUCAUUUGACCUUAUCUAGAUAUUAGUGGUUCUUAAUCCAGCAAGGUCUUGAAUAUUUUUCGCUUUGUCCAUUCAAAAUUUUGUUCGUCUAGCAACGUUCAUGGUUUAAGCUUUGAUUCGAAAAACAACUUUCAAUUUUAUAGGAGAGACAAAGAGCAACAACAAGCCGCUGUAGAUAUUGUGUAGUAGCAACAUUAAUGAUCUGCUAAUGUUAUAGGUUUUUUUUUCUUCUUUCCUUAAUAUCUACAUGACCAAUGUAUAUUUUUAAUGAUCAAACAUGCACAUGUCACAUUAAGAGGUUGAGAGUAGCUCAAAAGAUAUGCAUACAUCCUCUACCUUACCUAAUGAAAUAUUUCUAAAACCAUAGUAGAUGUCAGGUGUAAAUUCCAUAAAGAAUUGUUGGUUUUUGUAAUUAUUUCGUGAAACUUUCAUUGUAGGGUUCUAGGAUUGGUCAAUAAGCAGGGUUGUUUUCUUUCUUUAGUAUCUGCAUGAUCAAGUUGGUCUGUACUUUUAAUGAUCAUACCUGCACAUGUCACAUUAAGAUUGAAUAUAUUGUGACUUUUGUAACCAUUUCUUGUUAAUUGCUUGAGGAAAAACCAACAGGAAUAUUUUUCUUAGAAAUCCCAAGGAAGUAAAUGUUCUCACUGUGUUGGUAAAAUAAUAUAUAUUUUUGUUGUAUGUAUACUUAAUUUCAGGAGAUGUAGAUUUUCUUGUUAUCUUAUAUAUGUUCCUUUUCUUUUUUUCUUCUUGUGAAAAAUGAGUUCAACAACAAAGGGGUCCUCAUUCUGGCCUCCUGGGGUUGAAAUGAUUACUCCUUUAAUUGAUUUGAAGAUUGUUAAUUUUUUUAUUUGGAAACGCUUGGAAGCUUUCCUUUGUUUUGGCGUUAUGAAGAUCUUAUGCUGCAGGGAGUUUUCACCAAUGCCACAAAGAUGUUGCUGCAUCGAACGCAUAGGAUAAUAUGAUAUUAGUAAGUAUCUAUCAUCUACAUUUUUCUUUUGUCUUCAAUUUUGUAGGAUUUCUUUUCUUUCAGCAAUGUUUUAGAAAUAUAAAUACUUUCUUAUAUGUUUAUCCAGUCAUCCACAUUUAACUAGGUUGCAAAGAACGUUGAAGUGAUAACUGCAUGUGUAAGUACCAUGGAUGAGCUAGCAAAACAUACAUUUUUAUGCUAGAGUGCAUAUGGAUUAGGUAUGUGUAUUUGUUGGCAAUGUUCAUGUGUGAGAAAGCAAGGUCCAUAAGAUAUCUAGGGGAUUAGAGGUGGUAUGAUUUAAAGAUAAAGCAUCAUCUUGAGUGCUUUUUUUCAUGUGGUUGCUGCAUGGGCUUCAAAUAAUUUACUUGGGACUUCAUUCAGAAGUACAACUGGCAAUCCGAGAUCAAUACUGAGAUCAGACAUCAGAUACGAUAUAAUUUUUUUUGUACAAACAAAAUCUAUGAUAUCAUGCCAUUCUAUGUGUGUUCAGAAAUAAGUUUGGUAUCUGCUACAAUGUACAUAUAACUUGGUCAUCCUAAAGAAACUUUAUCUUGCAUAUUGCUUGGUUACAAGAUAAUAACUAAUAUGUAUUACAAAUAUCUAGGGAAAUCUUUUGAUUGUUUUGUACAUAUAUUAUCAUGGAUGCCAAAUAGCAGGUUGCUUCAAACCAGGGGAACUGGCUGGUUCAUAGAUGGUUGAACGUUCAAUCUUCGACAAUGCUCAUGGAGCAAACAAGGGGAAUUAAGUUAGUAUGUCUUUAAAAUAGCACCCAAAGGUGCACUCAAUAAUUCCAGUUUUUCAACUUGUACUGUUAUUGUUGAUACACAUUGUUUUGUGCAUACUUGCUAGGGAAAAGUAUAUUUUUCGUCCCUGGACUCUCUCAAAAGUAUAGAAACGGUCCUUCAACUUUAAAACCGGCAAAUGUUAGUCCCUCAACUUCUCAAACCGGAUUAUUUUAAUCCCUUGACUCAACAAAGGUUGUUUUCAUGCUUACUUGGCAUGGUUUUGACCAGUCUAACACCCACAUGGCAAUCUUCUUCUUUUCCAUUUUAACUCGGCUGGUCAUUUCGUCGAGCAGUUGGCGCCACCGGGCAACAAGAGAAAGAGGUAGGCAUGGAGCUUGCGUGCCUGUCGGCAGCGCACAGAGGGUGCAGGAGGCCAGGGAGCUACGCUACAGUGAGUUUUGUGGGAUGAGCGGGGCUGUCGCGGCUAGCAGCACGGAGGCACGCGGCGGCUUGGCCUUCACGGCGAACUCGUAACACAGACACAACUAACUGCUACUCGUGUUGCCAUCUCGUGCUCAUGGUAUGCCUCUGCAAUUGCCGACGACCGCGCUGUUGAUGUUCCUGCGUCAUCCAAUUCUUGUUCAAAUCCAUCACUUGCGUGCUGCGGGUCCUGGACAUGGCGUGGACAAUGGCGCGAUGGCGGGGCGCACGCUUGUCGCCGCUCCAGCGCUGUCAGCCACACCCGCUUCGGCGGCUCGCCCGGUCUGCCGUUGUUGCUCGGCCACGCACGGGCGAUGACUGCUGAAACCAUGCAAGUCAGCAUGAAAACCACUUUUGUUAAAUCAAAGGACUCGAGUUAUCUGGUUUAAAGAAUUGAGGGACUAAGUUUUGCUGGUUUUGAAGUUAAGGGACCGUUUCUAUACUUUCGAGAGAGUUUAGGGACGAAAAAUAUACUUUUCCCUACUUGCUAUGAUGUUCGAAUUUGACUGCUCUGUCGUAAUCACCAAUCACCACAGUUAACACACUACACAUGAUUCUGCUUGCAGAAACCCAACAGUUAACGGAGAAAUCAGGUCACUUUGCAUCUACUUUGCCUCAGUUUUUUCAGAAGUCAACAGAGUUUGUAAAAAAAAGAAACAUGAUCCUGCGGCGGUUGCCCAGACUUUUUUUUCUGCGGUAGUAAUGUUUGGAUGGGACAUGUCCCUCCUUUCAUAAUCACUUUGUAAUUUCUACUUGUGCUAUGUAAUGGACGCCUUAAAUAAAAAGGCAGUAUGUUUUGUAGAUACUCCCUUUGUUGAGAAUAAUUAUCACUAUAACUUUCUUUAUGAGGA
Molecule: long non-coding RNA, 5055 nt
Organism: Triticum dicoccoides
Lineage: Eukaryota; Viridiplantae; Streptophyta; Magnoliopsida; Poales; Poaceae
Exons: 2
Source: RefSeq, a predicted model, not a curated record